GGUCGGUUCUCGGGUGAUGCACCCUGGAAUUGGCUCCCUCCUCUCUGGUUCCAAGGUGCAUCACACAAGAACCACC
Myotis davidii is the source of this 76-nucleotide non-coding RNA. Lineage: Eukaryota; Metazoa; Chordata; Mammalia; Chiroptera; Vespertilionidae. The record is from Rfam.